AUUGAACGCUGGCGGCAGGCCUAACACAUGCAAGUCGAGCGGAUGAAGGGAGCUUGCUCCUGGAUUCAGCGGCGGACGGGUGAGUAAUGCCUAGGAAUCUGCCUGGUAGUGGGGGAUAACGUCCGGAAACGGGCGCUAAUACCGCAUACGUCCUGAGGGAGAAAGUGGGGGAUCUUCGGACCUCACGCUAUCAGAUGAGCCUAGGUCGGAUUAGCUAGUUGGUGGGGUAAAGGCCUACCAAGGCGACGAUCCGUAACUGGUCUGAGAGGAUGAUCAGCCACACUGGAACUGAGACACGGUCCAGACUCCUACGGGAGGCAGCAGUGGGGAAUAUUGGACAAUGGGCGAAAGCCUGAUCCAGCCAUGCCGCGUGUGUGAAGAAGGUCUUCGGAUUGUAAAGCACUUUAAGUUGGGAGGAAGGGCAGCAAGUUAAUACCUUGCUGUUUUGACGUUACCAACAGAAUAAGCACCGGCUAACUUCGUG
RNAcentral lists this ribosomal RNA (484 nucleotides) under uncultured bacterium. Its description in RNAcentral is "partial 16S ribosomal RNA". It matches the Rfam family "Bacterial small subunit ribosomal RNA", at positions 30 to 507 of the family's 1533-position model. The record is from RNAcentral.